RNAcentral lists this transfer RNA (113 nucleotides) under Talaromyces rugulosus. Its description in RNAcentral is "Penicillium rugulosum tRNA". It matches the Rfam family "tRNA". From Rfam's summary of the family: Transfer RNA (tRNA) molecules are approximately 80 nucleotides in length. Their secondary structure includes four short double-helical elements and three loops (D, anti-codon, and T loops). Lineage: Eukaryota; Fungi; Ascomycota; Eurotiomycetes; Eurotiales; Trichocomaceae. The record is from Rfam by way of RNAcentral.
GGCUGAAUGGUGUAGCGGUUAUCACGCAUCGUUCACAUGAAGUGAGCUUCUUUGAUCUCGAGUUUGAGGUCAUAGUCCCGAUGAGGUCCUGGGUUCGAUUCCCAGUUUAGUCA